CAGUCGCCGCGGUAAUACGUAGGGUGCGAGCGUUAAUCGGAAUUACUGGGCGUAAAGCGUGCGCAGGCGGUUUUGUAAGACAGGCGUGAAAUCCCCGGGCUCAACCUGGGAACUGCAUUUGUGACUGGCAGGCUAGAGUAUGGCAGAGGGGGGUGGAAUUCCGCGUGUAGCAGUGAAAUGCGUAGAUAUGCGGAGGAACACCGAUGGCGAAGGCAGCCCCCUGGGCCAAUACUGACGCUCAUGCACGAAAGCGUGGGGAGCAAACAGGAUUAGAUACCCCUGUAGUCCCUGUCUCUUAUAC
RNAcentral lists this ribosomal RNA (301 nucleotides) under uncultured bacterium. RNAcentral's name for it is "partial 16S ribosomal RNA". It matches the Rfam family "Bacterial small subunit ribosomal RNA", at positions 509 to 807 of the family's 1533-position model. The record is from RNAcentral.